GCAUUGGAACCACCUGAUCCCAUCCCGAACUCAGUAGUGAAACGAUGCAUCGCCGAUGGUAGUGUGGGGUUUCCCCAUGUGAGAGUAGGUCAUCGUCAAGA
Molecule: ribosomal RNA, 101 nt
Filed under: Pseudomonas fluorescens
Lineage: Bacteria; Pseudomonadati; Pseudomonadota; Gammaproteobacteria; Pseudomonadales; Pseudomonadaceae
Also listed under: 10 other names
Source: RNAcentral